Long non-coding RNA from Phyllostomus hastatus (greater spear-nosed bat), 963 nucleotides. RefSeq lists it as uncharacterized. The transcript has 2 exons. The record is from RefSeq and is a predicted model, not a curated record. Lineage: Eukaryota; Metazoa; Chordata; Mammalia; Chiroptera; Phyllostomidae.
UGGUGAUGUGUUAGAAAACCUUGGAGAUGGGCUCCCUGAGGGUUCCACCCCUAGGCCAGCUCCGAGAGUGACUAAAAUAAAGAACUUAAGAAAGAAGUGGCAAGAAAUGCAGCUAGACAUCUGAAUGCGGAAGGGCAGCGGAGGACUCCGAGGAUGCUCGAGUGGACGGAAGAGCCAGUGCUUGCAAGAAGCCCGGAUUCCUGAGUCACCAUGUGGAACAGCUGCAGGAGGGGGCUGCCCCAACCAGAUGCAUGAGGGUUAAUCCCCUGAGUUUCCAGAGUUUGUUUUUCCUGUAGGAGAGCUUCUCCUAUUGUCAUUCAUACCCAAAAUCAGAGAUUCUGGAACAAUUUUUAAAAAUAUGAUAUUUAAGUUUUUUUAAAAAAACUAUCUUAAAUGGGCAAAGCCAGAACUUUGUUAGGCUUCCUUAGUAAUUCAGAGUUUUAAAAAUGUUCAGUAGCACAUGAAGAGCACAGUAAUUAAAUUUCUAUGCUUAGGGUUUGUGAAGGUCUUACCCCAGUCUGUUUCUUUGGCCACUGAGGCACCAGAGAUGCACAGUGAAGAAGGACAGCUCAUUGGACCCUUUCUGGGUCUGCUGGCUCUUUUCUAGAUAUGCUUUCUGUUCCCAAAGAUUUCUCCUUUUGUUCGGGAAUUCCCUUUUCUUGGAAUAUUUACCUCACCCUCUCUUUCAAGCUCAGUUCAACUCUAUUUCUUCCAAGAGCCUUUCUAGAUUCCACAGGGAAUAGUUAAUUUUAUUUUUCUAUAAUUCUAUGUAUUUUUUUAAAUGCAUUUACAUUUGUAUCUAUCCCCUUCCACCAAAUACACACACAGGCACGCUUUGAAAUGCAACUAAAAGAAGGCCGGUGUUAUUUCUUACUCACUGUCCUCUUCACCAUAAUAUCAUGCUCUGAAUGCAGAAAAAGUUCAUUGCAUUUGUAAACUUGAAUAAAAUCAUCUUUGGCUGAA